UACGUAGGGUGCAAGCGUUGUCCGGAAUCAUCGAGCGUAAAGCGCGCGUAGGUGGCUUCGUAAGUCCGUUGUGAAAGUCAAAGGCUCAACCUUUGAAUGCCGAUGGAUACUGCGAAGCUAGAGUACGGAAGAGGCGAGUGGAAUUCCUGGUGUAGCGGUGGAAUGCGCAGAUAUCAGGAGGAACACCAAUAGCGAAGGCAGCUCGCUGGGACGUUACUGACACUAAGGCGCGAAAGCGUGGGGAGCGAACAGG
Molecule: ribosomal RNA, 253 nt
Filed under: uncultured bacterium
Lineage: Bacteria
Description: partial 16S ribosomal RNA
Rfam family: Bacterial small subunit ribosomal RNA
Source: RNAcentral